Molecule: ribosomal RNA, 742 nt
Filed under: uncultured bacterium
Lineage: Bacteria
Description: bacterial SSU rRNA
Rfam family: Bacterial small subunit ribosomal RNA
Source: RNAcentral
AACGAGCGAGAGAGAGCUUGCUUUCUCGAGCGAGUGGCGAACGGGUGAGUAACGCGUGAGGAACCUGCCUCAAAGAGGGGGACAACAGUUGGAAACGACUGCUAAUACCGCAUAAGCCCACGGCUCGGCAUCGAGCAGAGGGAAAAGGAGCAAUCCGCUUUGAGAUGGCCUCGCGUCCGAUCAGCUAGUUGGUGAGGUAAUGGCCCACCAAGGCAACGAUCGGUAGCCGGACUGAGAGGUUGAACGGCCACAUUGGGACUGAGACACGGCCCAGACUCCUACGGGAGGCAGCAGUGGGGAAUAUUGCACAAUGGGGGAAACCCUGAUGCAGCGACGCCGCGUGGAGGAAGAAGGUCUUCGGAUUGUAAACUCCUGUUGUUGAGGAAGAUAAUGACGGUACUCAACAAGGAAGUGACGGCUAACUACGUGCCAGCAGCCGCGGUAAAACGUAGGUCACAAGCGUUGUCCGGAAUUACUGGGUGUAAAGGGAGCGCAGGCGGGAAGACAAGUUGGAAGUGAAAUCUAUGGGCUCAACCCAUAAACUGCUUUCAAAACUGUUUUUCUUGAGUAGUGCAGAGGUAGGCGGAAUUCCCGGUGUAGCGGUGGAAUGCGUAGAUAUCGGGAGGAACACCAGUGGCGAAGGCGGCCUACUGGGCACCAACUGACGCUGAGGCUCGAAAGUGUGGGUAGCAAACAGGAUUAGAUACCCUGGUAGUCCACACCGUAAACGAUGAUUACUAGG